GUGGGGAAUUUUGGACAAUGGGCGAAAGCCUGAUCCAGCCAUGCCGCGUGCAGGAUGAAGGCCUUCGGGUUGUAAACUGCUUUUGUACGGAACGAAAAGACUCUGGUUAAUACCUGGGGUCCAUGACGGUACCGUAAGAAUAAGCACCGGCUAACUACGUGCCAGCAGCCGCGGUAAUACGUAGGGUGCAAGCGUUAAUCGGAAUUACUGGGCGUAAAGCGUGCGCAGGCGGUUAUAUAAGACAGAUGUGAAAUCCCCGGGCUCAACCUGGGAACUGCAUUUGUGACUGUAUAGCUAGAGUACGGCAGAGGGGGAUGGAAUUCCGCGUGUAGCAGUGAAAUGCGUAGAUAUGCGGAGGAACACCAAUGGCGAAGGCAAUCCCCUGGGCCUGUACUGACGCUCAUGCACGAAAGCGUGGGGAGCAAACAGGAUUAGAAACCCGGGUAGUCC
RNAcentral lists this ribosomal RNA (450 nucleotides) under uncultured bacterium. RNAcentral describes it as "partial 16S ribosomal RNA". It matches the Rfam family "Bacterial small subunit ribosomal RNA", at positions 354 to 796 of the family's 1533-position model. The record is from RNAcentral.